Molecule: long non-coding RNA, 586 nt
Filed under: Ooceraea biroi (clonal raider ant)
Lineage: Eukaryota; Metazoa; Arthropoda; Insecta; Hymenoptera; Formicidae
Description: uncharacterized LOC113562168, transcript variant X3
Source: RNAcentral
CACGGGAGCGCGUGUGGGUGCGUCGCCGCGUCGCGCCACAGCGCGCACGCGUGCGUGCACACUCGCGACGCGACAGAGUGCUGUUAUGAUUGUUGACAGUAAUGAUACCCGAAAGCAAAAAGAGAAUAAGGAAGGACUAUGCUCGGCAUAUAGAUAGAGUAAGUUGAGCUCAACUCACAGAAUGCGGAUGAGAUGGACGAUUAAGUUACACGUGUGUCAGUUAUCAAUGACAGACACAUACGCAUUAUGCGAUAAACGAAAUUGUGUAUAGUAUAAAAAUUAAUUUUCAUAAAAACAUUUUAUAAAACUACAUAAAUUAGAAACUGAAAAAAUUAAUAACACGGGACAACUUUCACGACCAAACAUCAAAAUAGAUAACAAUGUAUUCUGUAGUGCAUUUUCCAUUUUAAUUGCACAGGAGAAAGUCAACAAGUUGAGAAAACAGCAGCAGUUGAAGAAAGACAGGAACAAGAAGUUAUGCUAAAAUGAAUAAAUGCCAAGCAUUUAGUGAAAUAUUGAGUUUAUUAAAAACGUUAGUAUGAGUUACAAUACCAUAUUUUUUUUGAAUAUAUUAGUACAUAGAAAA